GUGGAUUAGAUACCCUGGUAGUCCAUGCCGUAAACGUUGGGCGCUAGGUGUGGGACUCAUUCCACGAGUUCCGUGCCGCAGCUAACGCAUUAAGCGCCCCGCCUGGGGAGUACGGCCGCAAGGCUAAAACUCAAAGGAAUUGACGGGGGCCCGCACAAGCGGCGGAGCAUGCGGAUUAAUUCGAUGCAACGCGAAGAACCUUACCAAGGCUUGACAUAUACCGGAAACACCUAGAGAUAGGUGCCCCUUUUGGUCGGUAUACAGGUGGUGCACGGCCGUCGACAGCU
Molecule: ribosomal RNA, 287 nt
Filed under: uncultured bacterium
Lineage: Bacteria
Description: partial 16S ribosomal RNA
Rfam family: Bacterial small subunit ribosomal RNA
Source: RNAcentral